Molecule: long non-coding RNA, 535 nt
Organism: Pteropus alecto (black flying fox)
Lineage: Eukaryota; Metazoa; Chordata; Mammalia; Chiroptera; Pteropodidae
Exons: 2
Source: RefSeq, a predicted model, not a curated record
GGUGAUCCUGUGAGUCCACACCUCUCAGAUAGAUUGUGGAGUCAGCAGAUCUCUCUCCACACCACAGUCCUCUGUCCACCAUUCCCUGCUAAAGGCACUCAGGGUAUUUGUCACAUAAAAGAGUUCUGUGGGAUAACCACAAUUAAUGUUUUGGCUACGCUUGGGUGACGCUGCCCUUCUGGUGCUGAUGGCGGCAUUGGGUGGGGCCUCUGUCCUCCUUCCUGGCAGAAGAGAAUCCUGGUAGCUCCACCCUUCUGGGAGGUGCCCCAUCUGUCCUGACAGUAGGGGGAGCCAAAGCGCCAGAACUGGAGCUAAGUUGCAGUGGACACUGCAGGAACAAGACUUCCCCACACUGCACCCCUCUCCUGCCUGAUGUCUGUCACCCAUCCUGCCCGGGGAAGGACAGUAGGAAUUGCACAGUCUUCAGAUGCCCUUUCAUUCUUGCUUUUCCCCUCACCUAUAGCCUGGCUUCUUGGCAGCCAGACAGAAAGAUGGGCCAGUUUGAAUUAACAGUGAAUAAAUUCUGUGGCCAAAA